RNAcentral lists this ribosomal RNA (567 nucleotides) under uncultured bacterium. Its description in RNAcentral is "partial 16S ribosomal RNA". It matches the Rfam family "Bacterial small subunit ribosomal RNA", at positions 355 to 912 of the family's 1533-position model. The record is from RNAcentral.
UGGGGAAUAUUGCACAAUGGGCGCAAGCCUGAUGCAGCCAUGCCGCGUGUGUGAAGAAGGCCUUCGGGUUGUAAAGCACUUUCAGCGAGGAGGAAGGUGGUGAGCUUAAUACGCUCAUCAAUUGACGUUACUCGCAGAAGAAGCACCGGCUAACUCCGUGCCAGCAGCCGCGGUAAUACGGAGGGUGCAAGCGUUAAUCGGAAUUACUGGGCGUAAAGCGCACGCAGGCGGUUUGUUAAGUCAGAUGUGAAAUCCCCGGGCUCAACCUGGGAACUGCAUUUGAAACUGGCAAGCUAGAGUCUCGUAGAGGGGGGUAGAAUUCCAGGUGUAGCGGUGAAAUGCGUAGAGAUCUGGAGGAAUACCGGUGGCGAAGGCGGCCCCCUGGACGAAGACUGACGCUCAGGUGCGAAAGCGUGGGGCAGCAAACAGGAUUAGAUACCCUGGUAGUCCACGCUGUAAAACGAUGUCGAUUUGGAGGUUGUGCCCUUGAGGCGUGGCUUCCGGAGCUAACGCGUUAAAUCGACCGCCUGGGGAGUACGGCCGCAAGGUUAAAACUCAAAGGAAUUG